GGCGACCGGCGCACGGGUGAGUAACACGUAUCCAACCUGCCGUCUACUCUUGGACAGCCUUCUGAAAGGAAGAUUAAUACAAGAUGGCAUCAGGAGUCCACAUGUUCACAUGAUUAAAGGUAUUCCGGUAGACGAUGGGGAUGCGUUCCAUUAGAUAGUAGGCGGGGUAACGGCCCACCUAGUCUUCGAUGGAUAGGGGUUCUGAGAGGAAGGUCCCCCACAUUGGAACUGAGACACGGUCCAAACUCCUACGGGAGGCAGCAGUGAGGAAUAUUGGUCAAUGGGCGAGAGCCUGAACCAGCCAAGUAGCGUGAAGGAUGACUGCCCUAUGGGUUGUAAACUUCUUUUAUAAAGGAAUAAAGUCGGGUAUGCAUACCCGUUUGCAUGUACUUUAUGAAUAAGGAUCGGCUAACUCCGUGCCAGCAGCCGCGGUAAUACGGAGGAUCCGAGCGUUAUCCGGAUUUAUUGGGUUUAAAGGGAGCGUAGAUGGAUGUUUAAGUCAGUUGUGAAAGUUUGCGGCUCAACCGUAAAAUUGCAGUUGAUACUGGAUAUCUUGAGUGCAGUUGAGGCAGGCGGAAUUCGUGGUGUAGCGGUGAAAUGCUUAGAUAUCACGAAGAACUCCGAUUGCGAAGGCAGCCUGCUAAGCUGCAACUGACAUUGAGGCUCGAAAGUGUGGGUAUCAAACAGGAUUAGAUACCCUGGUAGUCCACACGGUAAACGAUGAAUACUCGCUGUUUGCGAUAUACAGCAAGCGGCCAAGCGAAAGCGUUAAGUAUUCCACCUGGGGAGUACGCCGGCAACGGUGAAACUCAAAGGAAUUGACGGGGGCCCGCACAAGCGGAGGAACAUGUGGUUUAAUUCGAUGAUACGCGAGGAACCUUACCCGGGCUUAAAUUGCAGAUGAAUUACGGUGAAAGCCGUAAGCCGCAAGGCAUCUGUGAAGGUGCUGCAUGGUUGUCGUCAGCUCGUGCCGUGAGGUGUCGGCUUAAGUGCCAUAACGAGCGCAACCCUUGUUGUCAGUUACUAACAGGUUCUGCUGAGGACUCUGACAAGACUGCCAUCGUAAGAUGUGAGGAAGGUGGGGAUGACGUCAAAUCAGCACGGCCCUUACGUCCGGGGCUACACAUGUGUUACAAUGGGGGGUACAGAGGGCCGCUACCACGCGAGUGGAUGCCAAUCCCAAAAACCUCUCUCAGUUCGGACUGGAGUCUGCAACCCGACUCCACGAAGCUGGAUUCGCUAGUAAUCGCGCAUCAGCCACGGCGCGGUGAAUACGUUCCCGGGCCUUGUACACACCGCCCGUCAAGCCAUGGGAGCCGGGGGUACCUGAAGUGCGAAACCGCGAGGAGCGCCCUAGGGUAAAACUG
This 1367-nucleotide ribosomal RNA is filed under the name uncultured organism. Its description in RNAcentral is "16S ribosomal RNA". It matches the Rfam family "Bacterial small subunit ribosomal RNA". The record is from RNAcentral.